GCGGUCAGGCCGUCAGGCGGGCGGGCGGUCGGGUCGGUCGAGCCCUCCGGUCGGUCGGGCCCUACGGCAGUCGGUCGGGCCCUACGACAGUCGGUCGGUCCCUCCGGCAGUCGGUCGGUCGGCGGGUAUUCCCCAACAGUUGCCCCCCUCCACUCCUAAGUCGGGUGGCGGGCUGGCCGAGGCUUCCAUUCGGGCAGCAAUCCCGGACGACUGGGAGUGGAUUUGUCGCAUGUGUAGAUCCGACCGUACUGUCGGAUGAUCCGAUGUCAGACGCCUCAUGAAUGCCCAGCGAUCCGCCCGUCUCUCCCACAUACGCAGGCUCGCUCCUCUCUCUCUCUCCCUCUUUCUCAGAGCUCUCCGUCUGCAUUUCACUGUUGCCCAGUCACCUCUCUGACUUGACCGUCGGAGGGUCCCCGUCGGAGCCCCCUCCGGUCAGUGCGGACUUCCUUUUGCAGGUGCACGCUUCCCGGCGAUCGGGCGAUGAGGCGAUUGGCCGCAACA
RNAcentral lists this long non-coding RNA (501 nucleotides) under Elaeis guineensis (African oil palm). RNAcentral's name for it is "long non-coding RNA (EGUI_LNC019127)". The record is from RNAcentral. Lineage: Eukaryota; Viridiplantae; Streptophyta; Magnoliopsida; Arecales; Arecaceae.